This 352-nucleotide unclassified non-coding RNA is filed under the name rhizosphere metagenome. RNAcentral's name for it is "partial ribosomal RNA internal transcribed spacer region". The record is from RNAcentral.
GUAGGUGAACCUGCGGAAGGAUCAUUAUUGAAUUAUGUUUUCUAGAUGGGUUGUAGCUGGCCCUUUGGGGCAUGUGCACGCCUGUCCGGACUUCAUUUUCAUCCACCUGUGCACCUAUUGUAGUCUUUGUCGGGAUGCAUUGAGGAAGUGGUCAGCCUAUCAGCAGUUGCUGGAUGUGAGGACUUGCAAUGCAGCAGUGCGUUGCUGUCCUUUACUUGGCCACGGAAUCAAUUUCCUGUCGGAGUCUAUGUCAUUUAUUAUACCCUGCAGAAUGUCAUUGAAUGUCUAUACAUGGGCUUGUAUGCCUAUGAAAAUUGUAAUACAACUUUCAGCAACGGAUCUCUUGGCUCUC